Molecule: long non-coding RNA, 491 nt
Organism: Pan troglodytes (chimpanzee)
Lineage: Eukaryota; Metazoa; Chordata; Mammalia; Primates; Hominidae
Exons: 3
Source: RefSeq, a predicted model, not a curated record
GGCCUUUGCUCACUUACAGGCCAGCUGCAGCCAUAUUGUCCAAAACAAAAAGACAAAAACAAUAAUCAGCAAACUGAAUAAAACCUUUAAGGAAGGCGUCACACCCACAUCUUCUAGCGUGGGAUCAGAAAAGCAAGUGGGCCCUGGUCCUCCCGACAUUCACAACCCUUACCUCUCAGGAUCUUCUAAGAUGGGACGUCACAUACAGGAGGGGACUACACACAGAAGGCAGCCAAGAAAUAGACGAAAAAGAUUCGGGUAUUUAAGCAAGAGAAAUGAAGAUACACGUCACUAUGAAGACCUGCACAAAAAUGCUCACGGCAGCUUUAUUUGUAACACCCCAAAACUGGAAACAGCCAAAUGUCCAUUAACAGAUAAACAAACUAGUAUAAUCAUACAAUGGAAUACCACAUAGCAACCAGAGGAAACGAGCUUCAUACACGCAACAAUGUGGAUGAAACGAAAAUAAAUAUGCUGAGUGAAAGAAGCUG